GCCAGGUGUGGUGGCUCACACCUGUAAUCCCAGCUACUUGGGAGGUUGAGGCAGGAGAAUCGCUUGAACCCAGGAGACAGAGGUUGCAGUGAGCCAGGAUCGUGCCACUGCACUCUAGCCUGGGUGACAGAGCGAGAUUCCAUCUCAA
Molecule: unclassified non-coding RNA, 148 nt
Organism: Callithrix jacchus (white-tufted-ear marmoset)
Lineage: Eukaryota; Metazoa; Chordata; Mammalia; Primates; Cebidae
Rfam family: Metazoan signal recognition particle RNA
About the family: The signal recognition particle (SRP) is a universally conserved ribonucleoprotein. It is involved in the co-translational targeting of proteins to membranes.
Source: Ensembl